UACGGAGGGGGCUAGCGUUGCUCGGAAUUACUGGGCGUAAAGGGCGCGCAGGCGGCUGCUCAAGUCAGGCGUGAAAGGCCUGGGCUCAACCCGGGAAUUGCGCUUGAGACUGGGCUGGCUUGAGUGCGGGAGAGGAUGGUGGAAUUCCCAGUGUAGAGGUGAAAUUCGUAGAUAUUGGGAAGAACACCGGUGGCGAAGGCGGUCAUCUGGACCGCAACUGACGCUGAGGCGCGAAAGCGUGGGGAGCAAGCAGG
RNAcentral lists this ribosomal RNA (254 nucleotides) under uncultured bacterium. RNAcentral describes it as "partial 16S ribosomal RNA". It matches the Rfam family "Bacterial small subunit ribosomal RNA", at positions 524 to 776 of the family's 1533-position model. The record is from RNAcentral.